RNAcentral lists this ribosomal RNA (404 nucleotides) under Babesia vulpes. RNAcentral's name for it is "SSU rRNA". It matches the Rfam family "Eukaryotic small subunit ribosomal RNA", at positions 615 to 1038 of the family's 1831-position model. The record is from RNAcentral. Lineage: Eukaryota; Apicomplexa; Aconoidasida; Piroplasmida; Babesiidae.
GCAGUUAAGAAGCUCGUAGUUGAAUUUCUGCCUUAUCAUUAAUUUCGCUUCCGAACGUAAUUUUAUUGAUUUGGCAUCUUCUGGAUUAUAUAUUAUUUUUAAUAUAUUUUUCCAGUAUUUUACUUUGAGAAAACUAGAGUGUUUCAAACAGGCUUUUGCCUUGAAUACUACAGCAUGGAAUAAUGAAGUAGGACUAUUGGUUCUAUUUUGUUGGUUAUCGAACCAUAGUAAUGGUUAAUAGGAGCAGUUGGGGGCAUUCGUAUUUAACUGUCAGAGGUGAAAUUCUUAGAUUUGUUAAAGACGAACUACUGCGAAAGCAUUUGCCAAGGAUGUUUUCAUUAAUCAAGAACGAAAGUUAGGGGAUCGAAGACGAUCAGAUACCGUCGUAGUCCUAACCAUAAACU